AGCUGCAGAUGUCCCUAGGAGCUCUUGGUUGGAUUCUGGUUCUGAAGAGGAGGAGGUUUCGGUGCCUGCAGUUCCCCAGCGGUCCGGUGAGUGGUUACAUUGCGCCGGCGUGCCAGGGACUGGGGCCCAAGAUCAGGCUAGUGAGUGCUUGCGCCUGCUUAGGACCCUAGUGGCCACUUUCCCUUCCUAUCUUACUGGGUUGGAUACUAGACAGGUUCAGGGACAGG
This is a non-coding RNA of Pelobates cultripes (western spadefoot toad), 227 nucleotides long. NCBI's taxonomy places the organism in Eukaryota, Metazoa, Chordata, Amphibia, Anura, Pelobatidae. The record is from the annotation of a GenBank genome assembly.